This 490-nucleotide ribosomal RNA is filed under the name uncultured bacterium. RNAcentral describes it as "bacterial SSU rRNA". It matches the Rfam family "Bacterial small subunit ribosomal RNA", at positions 355 to 859 of the family's 1533-position model. The record is from RNAcentral.
UGGGGAAUAUUGCGCAAUGGGCGAAAGCCUGAUGCAGCAACGCCGCGUGCGGGAAGACAGCCCUAGGGUUGUAAACCGCUUUCAGCAGGGAAGAAACUGACGGUACCUGCAGAAGAAGAUGCGGCCAACUACGUGCCAGCAGCCGCGGUGACACGUAGGCAUCAAGCGUUAUCCGGAUUUAUUGGGCGUAAAGAGCUCGUAGGCGGUUCGGUAAGUCGGGUGUGAAAACUCUGGGCUCAACCCAGAGAGGCCACUCGAUACUGCUGUGACUAGAGUGCGGUAGGGGAGCGGGGAAUUCCUGGUGUAGCGGUGAAAUGCGCAGAUAUCAGGAGGAACACCAGUGGCGAAGGCGCCGCUCUGGGCCGUAACUGACGCUGAGGAGCGAAAGCAUGGGUAGCAAACAGGAUUAGAUACCCUGGUAGUCCAUGCCGUAAACGUUGGGCACUAGGUGUGGGUCUCAACCAACGAGAUCCGCGCCGUCGCUAACGCA